CGUAGGUGGCAAGCGUUGUCCGGAAUUAUUGGGCGUAAAGCGCGCGCAGGCGGUCCUUUAAGUCUGAUGUGAAAGCCCACGGCUCAACCGUGGAGGGUCAUUGGAAACUGGGGGACUUGAGUACAGAAGAGAAGAGUGGAAUUCCACGUGUAGCGGUGAAAUGCGUAGAGAUGUGGAGGAACACCAGUGGCGAAGGCGACUCUUUGGCUGUAACUGACGCUGAGGCGCGAAAGCGUGGGGAGCAAACAGGAUUAGAUACCCUGGUAGUCCACGCUGUAAACGAUGAGUGCUAAGUGUUAGAGGGUUUCCGCCCUUUAGUGCUGCAGCUAACGCAUUAAGCACUCCGCCUGGGGAGUACGGCCGCAAGGCUG
This 371-nucleotide ribosomal RNA is filed under the name uncultured organism. RNAcentral's name for it is "bacterial SSU rRNA". It matches the Rfam family "Bacterial small subunit ribosomal RNA", at positions 526 to 896 of the family's 1533-position model. The record is from RNAcentral.